Molecule: long non-coding RNA, 1101 nt
Filed under: Neogobius melanostomus (round goby)
Lineage: Eukaryota; Metazoa; Chordata; Actinopteri; Gobiiformes; Gobiidae
Description: lncRNA (ENSNMLG00000026530.1)
Source: RNAcentral
AGUGUCUAUACCUUAUUUCUAUGGUCUAUACAUGCAGUUAUAGAUUUAUUUCCUCUCUUGCAGCCAUGGCUACUUCUUCUGUCUUCACACAAGACAGUUUUUGGGCAUAUCUAAGCAGCCGAGGUAUUCCUGAGGAGAAUAUUCAAAAAAUGCAGCAGGAGCGGAUUGACUGCUCUGUUGUUGGACAAAUAGAUGAUAAGACCCUGGCUGAUUUUAUUCCAGCAUAUGGGGAUCGGAUUGCUGUAAAGCGCUUUUGCAUGGAAAAACAAAGAAAAUGUGUCACUGAUCCAAAAAAACAGUCGUUAUUUGAAAAACUUAAGAGAAAAAUGGAAACCAAAACAAACAAAGACCCGCAAUCUGAUGAGGAGCAUUCUCUCCGACCGACACAUAUGCAUCUACAUAAAAACAAAAGGGCUUUAAAGACGAAAAGGAAAAUAGAGCUGGGCUGGUUACACAACCAAAAAAUGGUGAAGAAACGUUAUGGUGGAGGAACCAGAGUUGUUGAAAUAUCCAAGACUGCCACAACUAAGGACAUUUUAUCACAUGCCAAGAUGCUAUUUUUUCCUGAUGAUCAGUCUAGGCAAGGAAAGUGGGAGGAUUUUAGCCACUCCAUUGUUGAUUUUCAGGAAGCAUACCUUGAUGAGCAUGUCACUGUGGGGGACCUCUAUGAAAUACAUACGUUUGGUGUGUUAAGAUUUUAUUUGCUAACAGAGGCCACUGAAAAUCUCAUACAGUUUGAAGAAGAAGCUGAAGUGGCUAGCACAGAUGAACGGCAGCAAAGCACCCCUGAUCAAGUGACACUGAAGACAAAUGAGCAACAGCCAGACACUGAACAACAACAAAACAGUGACCAUAUACAAAAGGACUGUACCACACAUUUGCCUCCUGCUGAUUUGGCUACUGUUGAGAUUAUUGAUGUUGAUCUUGACUCUUUAGACGAUACAUCUGAGAUUAUUAUUGGUGCUAUGCAAAACGCGGGAAUUGUCAGUUUUCUUGAUGACACCGUUCCAUUUGAGCCCAUUCAGAGUGAAGAACACCCCAACAAUCCACAAGCAAAAGUGAACUUGAACACCUCAACUCCCAUUAGAUCUGACACAGAAC